Aspergillus sergii is the source of this 75-nucleotide non-coding RNA. The record is from the annotation of a GenBank genome assembly. Lineage: Eukaryota; Fungi; Ascomycota; Eurotiomycetes; Eurotiales; Aspergillaceae.
CCCCCGAUGGUCUAGUUGGAUAUGAGAAUAAUCCGUGUAACCAAAAGGUGGCUGGCUCGAUUCCGGCUCGGGGAA